Thamnophis sirtalis is the source of this 632-nucleotide long non-coding RNA. RefSeq lists it as uncharacterized. The record is from RefSeq and is a predicted model, not a curated record. Lineage: Eukaryota; Metazoa; Chordata; Lepidosauria; Squamata; Natricidae.
AACAAACCUCCUAUAUUUGAAAAUGCUGAAUUUAAAGGUCUUAUUCGCAAACUAAGAAUCCUUUGGUAUUCGAGAGAAAUAAAAUGUCCUUUUCUCUAUGGAGCUGGCUAUGACCAGGUUAUAUAGUGGAAAUCUCACCAAAAUAGAUGACCCCAAAAGAUGACAUGGUGGAUGUGGAUUAAGGAGACUUUGGAUCUGGAGACUUCCAGUUGACGUUGCAGCACUAUUGUGAACUCAAACAAAUCCCUUUGUUGGAGGGCCCCAUAAGGGGUUAAAGUCACCCUGUAAGGCUGAUGAAGAGUAGAGGAGUUUUGAAGAUCAUGGAGAGUGGUGGCUCUCCUGCUUGACCCAAGGCUAAUUCCGUCUCAUCCGACGAUGAAGAAGAGAGGCAGCCAUAAUGGCUCCCAUGAAGCUGAGGCAACUGAAGAAACAAAGAAUAUGCUGGUGCAGUGUGGAUGAACAGUGACUGGAACUGGGUCAGGUGCAGCAAGUGACAAACUUAAGGGAUGAGGAUUGGAGUCACUAUCAGCAGCCACCCCUUAAUCUAUGGAGGGUCAGGGUAACAAGCUUCUCAAUCCCACUUGAAACCCCUCUUAACAGGAACAGGAAACAGAGAGGUGGGAGGCCCCUCC